CGUCGCGGGGGUCGGGGCCGUCGGCUUCAGUUUCUCUCGUGUCGGACUGUGUACUCUGUGAAGGAGCGCGAGGAAGGGAGAGGGAGUAGGCUGUCCGGAGGAGGUCGAUUCGGGGCAAUUCCGGGGCUCUCGGCUCAGCGACUGCGUCCGGACCCGCUCCGUCGGCUCGGUGUCUGACGCUCGCCUCCUCUGCGGCUCCUCGGGGGCGGAACUGGCGCCGCCCUCACCGGACGCCAUGACCAACCCGCGGCCUGUCACGUAGGCCCGGAGAAGUGGCAGUACGCAUGCGCGGGCCUCCAAGCGUGGGAUCAGCGGCUGCAAGUACAGGUUCUGGCGUUAGGAGGAACAAUUAUUGUUCCUCCAAGAAAUUGAUUCCUGCUAAUCAGGACUUAUGUGACGGGCUGUAAUGGAGACGUGAAACUGAGAGGGCUUUUCUCACGCUUGAUGGCAGGCUGGCGAAUGAAUCCAGAUUGACACCACAGAGUUUGGCGACCAGAGGGGACUAGCGCCCUCUGACGGAGUCAUUUGGAUAUGACGCUCCCAGGGGCUUUGACCUUCUAUUAGGCCCUGGAGAAAGGGAAUAAUGACAGUCUCUCGUCCUUCAAGGCCUUGUAGCUGGGUGUGGUGGCGCACACCUGAUUCCUGCAGUUGGGAAGCCUGAGGCAGGAGGAUCUCAAGUUCAAGCCCAGCCUGGACAAUUUAGCAAUUUAAUGAGACCUUAUCUCAAAAUAAAAAAAAAUGGCACAGGUCCCUGUGCAACUCUUGAGUGUA
This is a long non-coding RNA of Heterocephalus glaber (naked mole-rat), 771 nucleotides long. RefSeq lists it as uncharacterized. The record is from RefSeq and is a predicted model, not a curated record. Lineage: Eukaryota; Metazoa; Chordata; Mammalia; Rodentia; Bathyergidae.